AGCGAACGCUGGCGGCGUGCUUAACACAUGCAAGUCGAGCGAGAAAGGGGGCUUCGGCCCCUGAGUACAGCGGCGAACGGGUGCGUAAUGCAUGAGCAAUCUACCCUUGAGGCGGGAAUAACCCAGCGAAAGUUGGGCUAAUACCGGAUAAGACCACAAGAGGAGACCCUAGAGGCUAAAGGCAGCUCUCUUUUGGGGGCGGCCCUUUGAGGAGGAGCUCAUGUCCUACAGCUAGUUGGUAGGGUAACGGCCUACCAAGGCGAAGACGGGUAGCUGGUCUUAGAGGAUGAUCAGCCACACGGGGACUGAGACACGGCCCCGACUCCUACGGGAGGCAGCAGUGGGAAUCUUGCGCAAUGGGCGAAAGCCUGACGC
Molecule: ribosomal RNA, 375 nt
Filed under: uncultured bacterium
Lineage: Bacteria
Description: bacterial SSU rRNA
Rfam family: Bacterial small subunit ribosomal RNA
Source: RNAcentral